CGCCUCCGCACCGCCACGUCACCGGAGACGGGACCCGCGCUGACUGCCCGUGGGCGCAUGCGUCGUGGAGGGAGGGCGUCGGGGCGUCCGCGAGCGCCAACUUUCAGCGUCUGGUCUGCGGAUUCCUUCUAUCCCGCCCCGAUGCUGCAGGGCCCUGGCCGAGCGGCGUCAGCUGGAAGGCUGGCCAGAUUUUGUCGCACUCGGGGCAGGAAGACGGCCGAGGCGGCGGCCGAUGGAGAUAGUAGUGCCUUGCUUAAGUCACGGCGGCCGGCGGCGCCCUCCUGGAGGCUGACUGGACGGAGGCAGGGAAGAUCCCGGUGAGCGGGCCGGGCCUAACAGGAACCUCCAGCGGCCGCCCAAAGCCGCGGGCACGGGUGCUGACUCAGCUGCCCUCGGGAAGGAGUUGCUGCGUCCCCACAAACCCGCCAGUGCAGCUGAAGUGGCGGGUUAGAGCUGUGGUACUCAAACAUGUCCAAGCAAACGGGAGGAGCACCGGCGCGGGUUCAGUCUCUCCAAACCCGGUUCAGCCGUUAUCUCUGGAGUCAGACUUCGCCGCCCAAUUCAUGGAUUUGUGCUUUUGACUCCGCUCUGAUUUUUUUGAAUGAAUAAAGUUGCCUGGGAUACUUUA
Molecule: non-coding RNA, 628 nt
Organism: Macaca mulatta (Rhesus monkey)
Lineage: Eukaryota; Metazoa; Chordata; Mammalia; Primates; Cercopithecidae
Source: RefSeq, a predicted model, not a curated record